RNAcentral lists this ribosomal RNA (253 nucleotides) under uncultured bacterium. RNAcentral's name for it is "partial 16S ribosomal RNA". It matches the Rfam family "Bacterial small subunit ribosomal RNA", at positions 524 to 776 of the family's 1533-position model. The record is from RNAcentral.
UACGUAGGGUGCAAGCGUUAAUCGGAAUUACUGGGCGUAAAGCGUGCGCAGGCGGUUUUGUAAGUCUGUCGUGAAAUCCCCGGGCUCAUCCUGGGAAUUGCGAUGGAGACUGCAAGGCUAGAAUCUGGCAGAGGGGGGUAGAAUUCCACGUGUAGCAGUGAAAUGCGUAGAGAUGUGGAGGAACACCGAUGGCGAAGGCAGCCCCCUGGGUCAAGAUUGACGCUCAUGCACGAAAGCGUGGGGAGCAAACAGG